AUAUUUACUGUGCAAUUCAGUUUAAUUUGAUGCUUUAUAUCUUACUUUGUUUAUUAUUAUUGAUUAG
RNAcentral lists this transfer RNA (67 nucleotides) under Shaogomphus postocularis. RNAcentral describes it as "tRNA-Leu". Lineage: Eukaryota; Metazoa; Arthropoda; Insecta; Odonata; Gomphidae. The record is from RNAcentral.